AUUGAACGCUGGCGGCAGGCUUAACACAUGCAAGUCGAGCGGAGUGAUGGUGCUUGCACUAUCACUUAGCGGCGGACUGGUGAGUAAUGCUUAGGAAUCUGCCUAUUAGUGGGGGACAACAUCUCGAAAGGGAUGCUAAUACCGCAUACGUCCUACGGGAGAAAGCAGGGGAUCACUUGUGACCUUGCGCUAAUAGAUGAGCCUAAGUCGGAUUAGCUAGUUGGUGGGGUAAAGGCCUACCAAGGCGACGAUCUGUAGCGGGUCUGAGAGGAUGAUCCGCCACACUGGGACUGAGACACGGCCCAGACUCCUACGGGAGGCAGCAGUGGGGAAUAUUGGACAAUGGGGGGAACCCUGAUCCAGCCAUGCCGCGUGUGUGAAGAAGGCCUUCGGGUUGUAAAGCACUUUAAGCGAGGAGGAAUGGCUCUUGGUUAAUAACCUUGAGCAGUGACGUUACUCGCAGAAUAAGCACCGGCUAACUCUGUGCCAGCAGCCGCCGUAA
RNAcentral lists this ribosomal RNA (502 nucleotides) under uncultured bacterium. RNAcentral's name for it is "partial 16S ribosomal RNA". It matches the Rfam family "Bacterial small subunit ribosomal RNA", at positions 30 to 523 of the family's 1533-position model. The record is from RNAcentral.